RNAcentral lists this ribosomal RNA (392 nucleotides) under uncultured bacterium. RNAcentral describes it as "bacterial SSU rRNA". It matches the Rfam family "Bacterial small subunit ribosomal RNA", at positions 28 to 422 of the family's 1533-position model. The record is from RNAcentral.
GACGAACGCUGGCGGCGUGCUUAACACAUGCAAGUCGAGCGGUAAGGCCCUUUCGGGGGUACACGAGCGGCGAACGGGUGAGUAACACGUGGGUGACCUGCCCUCAGCUCUGGGAUAAGCCUGGGAAACCGGGUCUAAUACCGGAUAUGACUCCAUGACGCAUGUUGUGGGGUGGAAAGCCUUGUGCGGCUGAGGAUGGGCCCGCGGCCUAUCAGCUUGUUGGUGGGGGAUGGCCUACCAAGGCGACGACGGGUAGCCGGCCUGAGAGGGCGACCGGCCACACUGGGACUGAGACACGGCCCAGACUCCUACGGGAGGCAGCAGUGGGGAAUCUUGCGCAAUGGGCGAAAGCCUGACGCAGCGACGCCGCGUGAGGGAUGACGGCCUGGUGU